GUGCCAAUCGAUCGCCUAUCGAGGCGCCCCCUUCCCUGGCUCAUGGUGAUUUUGCAACUUUCUAGCCGGCUGAGCCUGGCUUUACGCUGGCAACACUCGAAAGCUGGUGCGGAGAAGACUUCUCAUUUGCUUCGCUGCAGGAUGCUGGAGCUGCCAUGUAUGCCCCUUACUUCUGGCCCCUGUUUCAGCCGCGUUUCCCGUUCUAUGCCGGUUUUUCAAACUCUGUUUUUCGUUUUAUUCAAAUUUUAUUGCCGCUCCUCGAACACUCUCGUGCCCGCCAGCCCCAACCGGACGCGGAACGCGAGUUACGUAUAACCCCACUUCACUUCCCACAUAUGUCCAAAACCCAAUUUCUUCUUUACCACCUCUUAAUAAUAAAGUACAAGAAUUGCUUAACUCAUUAAAUGCUAAAUAAACAAUAUAUUAAAGUAAUACAGCAAACAGGAAAUGCACAGGUUAACGAUCUGGCACAUGCCAACCAAAAUAAGUUCUAAGAAUCCAAAUAAGCAAUAUAACACAGUAAACAGGAAAUGCAUAGUUCAUCGAUCGUUAUUAAAUUCAGGCUAACUAGAGGCCAACGAUCUUACACAUGUCGACCAGAAUAAUUCGUAAUAAGCACUUCUGUAAACCUAAAUUAAGUUUUCUUUAAAACAUUAUCAAUAAAGAAUAUUCAGUUGAUUUUUGCCCACCAAACCCGCUUGACG
Molecule: non-coding RNA, 704 nt
Organism: Drosophila suzukii
Lineage: Eukaryota; Metazoa; Arthropoda; Insecta; Diptera; Drosophilidae
Source: RefSeq, a predicted model, not a curated record